GCCGGGCACGGUGGCGCAUACCUGUAGUCCCAGCUACUCGGGAGGCUGAGGUGGGAGGAUUGCUUGAGCCCAGGAGUUCUGGGCUGUACUGUGCUAGGCCAAUGGGGUGUCUGCACUAAGUUCAGCAUCAAUAUGGUGACCUCCUGGGAGUGGGGGACCACCAGAUUGCCUAAGGAGGGGUGAAAUCGGCCCAGGUCAGAAAUGUCGCAGGUCAAAACUCCCGUGCUGAUCAGUAGUGGGAUCGCGCCUGUGAAUAGCCACUGUACUCCAGCCCGGGCAACAUAGUAAGACCUCGUCCCU
RNAcentral lists this signal recognition particle RNA (300 nucleotides) under Saimiri boliviensis boliviensis (Bolivian squirrel monkey). Its description in RNAcentral is "Metazoan signal recognition particle RNA (ENSSBOG00000015924.1)". It matches the Rfam family "Metazoan signal recognition particle RNA". From Rfam's summary of the family: The signal recognition particle (SRP) is a universally conserved ribonucleoprotein. The record is from RNAcentral. Lineage: Eukaryota; Metazoa; Chordata; Mammalia; Primates; Cebidae.